RNAcentral lists this small RNA (29 nucleotides) under Bombyx mori (domestic silkworm). Its description in RNAcentral is "ovarian small RNA-4222". The record is from RNAcentral. Lineage: Eukaryota; Metazoa; Arthropoda; Insecta; Lepidoptera; Bombycidae.
AACAUGUCUACAAUACUCCCAUCAACAAU